UGGCGGACGGGUGAGUAACGCGUGGGUAACCUGCCGUAUACAGGGGAUAACACUUAGAAAUAGGUGCUAAAACCGCAUAAGCGCACAGCGCCGCAUGGCGCAGUGUGAAAAACUCCGGUGGUAUACGAUGGACCCGCGUCUGAUUAGCCAGUUGGCAGGGUAACGGCCUACCAAAGCGACGAUCAGUAGCCGGCCUGAGAGGGUGGACGGCCACAUUGGGACUGAGACACGGCCCAAACUCCUACGGAAGGCAGCAG
RNAcentral lists this ribosomal RNA (257 nucleotides) under uncultured bacterium. RNAcentral's name for it is "partial 16S ribosomal RNA". It matches the Rfam family "Bacterial small subunit ribosomal RNA", at positions 96 to 354 of the family's 1533-position model. The record is from RNAcentral.